AAGGCGGAGAAGACACACAUCUCCAGAUCUGACAAGACUCAUCAGCUUGCACCAACUCAUGUGUCCGAGUCUUUUCUUGUUUUUGCCAGACAUCUCUGCCCUUCCAGACCCUCAAAACUGCUGAGGCUGAUCCAGGCAAUUUAAUCUGAUAAGUGAGAAGUGUCUGCUCCUGACAGCACCAAGUUACUUCAAAAAAGGAUGAUGGACAUUGAAGAACCUCCAUAUGGAGUUUCCUUUCUCUAUGGUAAAGCUAGCCAUCCGAGCAAGAGACUUCCCUUGCCUCAACUGCUGACUGUAUGCUGUCCAAAGUAGAUAAUAAGGAUACAAAUGAAGGUGACUGCCAAACUUUGCCAAGACAUGGUAGGACAUUCCAUCAAAAAUUUCCUACUUUACAAAAAAGUCUGUCAGAUAUUCUAUGCCUGCAAACUGAAGAUUGGUGCCCCCAAAUUGCUUAGGAAACUUAGGGUGACUGUCCAGAAAGCCAGAUGUCUCUGUCCUUUUUUAGUUUUGAAAGUUGCUUGCUCUGUAUUUCCUGUUUAAUUACUUAAUCCUAUAUCUUUUCUUGGGUCUCAGAUGAGGUUGAAAAUGAGAUAAUUAUAAUGUUACAGUUUUCCUUGUUACAGAAAUCAGGAAAGAAAUUUAUAUAAGGGUUAUAAAGUAUGUAAGGCUGAGAAGCAUAAAAGCUUAGGUUAUUUAUCUAAAACAAUGUUUUAAGGUCUAUAAAACAUUUUUUUCAGAUGGUAAUGCAAAUUAUGAUAGGAAUUGGCUUAGUUAUAAAACUUAGGACUCACUCAGACAGGAGAAAAGAUAUAGUACCUUCUCCAGAUUUGCCAAAUACUAAUGGACUGGAUAUUGUAAACGUAAUUCUUAUCUGAUAAUUUUUCUUGUUGUACACAGUUUUACCAUGUCAGAGAUAAAACCUUUUCUUUUUAGACAAAAGUGGGAAAUGUGGGGUAUUUGUACACUGUGUGAAGGUGUAUUGCUAUGAUUGUUGUAAUAAAAAAUUUAAUGGUCAAAAGCUAGGCAGGAGUUAUAUGUGGGACUUCUGGGCAGAGAGAGGAAGUAGAAAGAGGAAUUUUGGGCACAAAAGAGAGAUAUGAGAAGACACAGAGGGAGCAGGAUAGGUGGUACAUGAUAGAAUGUAGAUUAAUGUAAAUAGAUUAAUUUAAGUUAUAAGAGCUAGUUGAGACAAGCCUAAGCUAUAGGGCAAGCUUUCAUAAUUAAUAAGAAAUUUCUGUGUCAUUAUUUGGGAUCUGGUGGUACAGAGAAAGACUUAUUACAAUACAUCUCAAUGAAAUUCAAUACAAUUACUCUUUUAAUUUGAUAUUAGAGCAGGGAUGGUGAUGUUAGCUGAGUUCAUUUAUUGGGACUAAGAAACAUCGUUCUGUGAAUGAUGUAAGACUAGAAGGUGGAAAGAGAAAAGAUAUUGAAGCAGUCUGAAAUUUAUCAGGAAGGAUGUCACUGGAUUAGAAAUCAACCAUAGACUUUGGGUUAGAUGUUCUAUAGAGGCUCUUGUAUCCUUUAAUUAUCUUUAUUAUCCAGCACAAAGAUUUAACCCUGAGCUUGCCUUUUUCUCUCUACCACUUUUCCCAUGAGAAAGGAUACUGACCUCUUAGGAAGCCUGUCUCUGCUUUUCUUAUCUGCCUAUAUCCUAUUAACAUCCUCUUAUUCACAUUUUUCAGAGAUCAACAAGGAAAGAGGACAGAUGAAGGAUGGGGCAACAUUCAGAGCAUUUCCAAGGAGGGUCAAUCUAAAAGACCAUGAUAAGACUUAGUUGAUGGCAUAUAUAUGGAGCACAAGGAAGCCGUUUGAUUAUUUAGGUUGUGUCCUUGGAUUGUGAUUUGUGGGUUAUGUAGCAUUGGUGUCAUACAUAAUGUAAUACUGUCAGUAUUACUAUAAUUCUUACUGAGAGUCAGUAAGAGAGUUGGGAUAACUUUGCUUAGGUCAGAGGAUGAGAAUAAGCAAGAAAACUAUCCCAAGAAGCCUUUUCAUAUUCUAUCAUAGUUGUUAAGAAGGUAUAUGAUUUGAUUUGCCCUCAUUGUGCACUACAAGAUGUACAUCAUUGAUAAUUCCAUUAGUCUGCCUUAAGAAUAUCAGUUUUGAGUUUUUCAUCUCCCAGUUCAUGUUUAGAGGUUGGCCAUUGGGUCUCACUUAUUACAGUCUCCCAGGAAAUGCUAAGAGACAGGAUCAGACCAAGGAGCUUUUAAUAUCUAUAUUGUCAUAAGUAUUAUUUGAGAGAUUAAAAUGUAACUGUAUAGUUAUUUGUUUGUCAGAAAAGACUCCUGCACAAGGGUUGAGCUACCUGGAAAAUUAACAAGAUAAAUCAGUAAAAGAAAUUCUCUCAAUAAAAGUGAGACAAAUUAUCUUAUGGGUUAUAACACUAUGGGCUAAGCCUGACUGUAAUUUGGAUUACAUUCUUAUUCAGGAUAUACCUAGAUAUCAAUAUCUAAUUGACAAUUUAAGUGAUUAAUAAAAUUCCAUUAGUUCUUGUGUUAUAAGGUUUCUUAGCAACACCCCAAUGGGAAACAUUUGUAUAUCCAGAAUAAUGCUGUGGGAUGUUCUGUAUAUCAAAUGUGUUGCUCUGAAUGGUUAAUAAAUAAAACACUGAUUGGCCAGUAGCCAGGCAGGAAGUAUAGAUGGGACACACAGAAAAGAGAAUUCUGGGAAGUGAAAGGCUGAGGCAGAGAGACACUGCCAGCUGCCACCAUGACAAGCGAGAUGUAAGGUACCGGUAAGCCAUGAGCCACGUGGCAAAGUAUAGAUUAAUAGAAAUGGGUUAAUUUAAGAUAAAAGAAGUAGAUAACAAGAAGCCUGCUGUGGCCAUACAGUUUGUAAGCAAUAUAAGUCUCUGUGUGUUUACUUGGUUGGGUCUGAGCUGCUGUGGGACUGGCUGUUAAAAGAGAUUUGUCCUGACUGUGGGCCAGGCAGGAAAACUCCAGCUACAAAUGGCGCCCAAUGUGGGGCAAGAGUUUCCACCUGAAACCUGAAAAAAAAAGAUUCUAAAACAGAGCUAAAAACAGCUUCCUAGUUGUCUCUCUCAAGUUGGAGGGUUCCUGGUGUGCGAGCUUGACCAGCAGUAUGGCGGGAAUGAGGCAUCUACAAGUGACACAUUGAGCUGCUUGGUUGAUUUAGUC
This is a long non-coding RNA of Peromyscus eremicus (cactus mouse), 3134 nucleotides long. RefSeq lists it as uncharacterized. NCBI's taxonomy places the organism in Eukaryota, Metazoa, Chordata, Mammalia, Rodentia, Cricetidae. The transcript is spliced from 2 exons. The record is from RefSeq and is a predicted model, not a curated record.